AGAGUUUGAUUAUGGCUCAGGACGAACGCUGGCGGCGUGCUUAACACAUGCAAGUCGAACGAGGCAGCAAUGCCUAGUGGCGGACGGGUGAGUAACGCGUAGGUAACCUGCCUCAUAGUGGGGGAUACCCAGCCGAAAGGUUGGCUAAUACCGCAUAAGCUGGUUUGUUGAGAUACAGAUCAGGAAAGAUUUAUUGCUAUGAGAGGGGCCUGCGUACGAUUAGCUAGUUGGUGAGGUAAAGGCUCACCAAGGCGACGAUCGUUAGCUGGUCUGAGAGGACGAUCAGCCACACUGGAACUGAGACACGGUCCAGACUCCUACGUGAGGCAGCAGUGGGGAAUUUUCCGCAAUGGGCGAAAGCCUGACGGAGCAACGCCGCGUGGGUGAUGAAGAUUUUCGGAUCGUAAAGCCCUUUCAGCAGGGACGAAGCGAGUGACGGUACCUGCAGAAGAAGCAUCGGCUAACUACGUGCCAGCAGCCGCGGUAAUACGUAGGAUGCGAGCGUUGUCCGGAAUUAUUGGGCGUAAAGAGAACGUAGGUGGUUUCUUAAGUUCGGUCUUAAAGACCGGGGCUCAACCCCGGGAAUGGACUGAAAACUGGGAGACUAGAGGAUGUUAGAGGACGGUGGAAUUCCAAGUGUAGCGGUGAAAUGCGUAGAUAUUUGGAGGAACACCAGUGGCGAAAGCGGCCGUCUGGGACAUUCCUGACACUGAGGUUCGAAAGCUCGGGGAGCAAACAGGAUUAGAUACCCUGUUAGUCCGAGCCGUAAACGAUGGACACUGGGUGUAGAGGGUAUCGACCCCCUCUGUGCCGUAGCUAACGCGUUAAGUGUCCCGCCUGGGGAGUACGGUCGCAAGACUGAAACUCAAAUGAAUUGACGG
RNAcentral lists this ribosomal RNA (881 nucleotides) under uncultured bacterium. RNAcentral describes it as "bacterial SSU rRNA". It matches the Rfam family "Bacterial small subunit ribosomal RNA", at positions 8 to 916 of the family's 1533-position model. The record is from RNAcentral.